Molecule: non-coding RNA, 148 nt
Organism: Pan troglodytes (chimpanzee)
Lineage: Eukaryota; Metazoa; Chordata; Mammalia; Primates; Hominidae
Rfam family: Metazoan signal recognition particle RNA
About the family: The signal recognition particle (SRP) is a universally conserved ribonucleoprotein. It is involved in the co-translational targeting of proteins to membranes. The eukaryotic SRP consists of a 300-nucleotide 7S RNA and six proteins: SRPs 72, 68, 54, 19, 14, and 9.
Source: Rfam
GCCAGGCGUGGUGAUGUGCACCUGUAAUCCCAGCUACUCGGGAGGCUGAGGCAGGAGAAUCACUUGAACCUGGGAGGCAGAGGUUGCAGUGAGCCAAGAUUGCGCCACUGCACUCCAGCCUGGGUGACAGAGUGAUACUCUGCCUCAA